Molecule: non-coding RNA, 223 nt
Filed under: Triticum aestivum (bread wheat)
Lineage: Eukaryota; Viridiplantae; Streptophyta; Magnoliopsida; Poales; Poaceae
Also listed under: 1 other name
Description: Bacterial large subunit ribosomal RNA
Rfam family: Bacterial large subunit ribosomal RNA
Source: Rfam by way of RNAcentral
CCUGGGGGGUAGUUAAGUGAACGAAACCCACCGGAGCCACAGUGAAAUGGAGUCUUUAUAGGGCGAUUGUCACUGCUUAUGGACACGAGCCUUUGUGAUCUAUGCAUGGCCAGGAUGAAUCUUGGAUGAAACUAAUCAGAGGUCUGAGCAUACUGAUGUUGAGAGAGUCAUCAGAUGAGUUGACUUUAGGGUUGAAAUGACACUUGAACCCAGAGCUAGCUCG